CAACAACGGAAAGGAGGUGGUCGAAUGUCUCAUUGUCAUACGCCGGCAUCGGCGAGCGGCGAGCACAUGAUCGCUUCUGCGGUUCAUAUCCUCGCCUGAACAACCGCCGGCUCCGGCCGACAAUGGAAGGGCCGUUCCCCGUGGAGCGGCCCU
This 153-nucleotide small RNA is filed under the name Sphingomonas endophytica. RNAcentral describes it as "sRNA CC2171". It matches the Rfam family "caulobacter sRNA CC2171", at positions 1 to 138 of the family's 159-position model. The record is from RNAcentral. Lineage: Bacteria; Pseudomonadati; Pseudomonadota; Alphaproteobacteria; Sphingomonadales; Sphingomonadaceae.